Molecule: ribosomal RNA, 253 nt
Filed under: uncultured bacterium
Lineage: Bacteria
Description: partial 16S ribosomal RNA
Rfam family: Bacterial small subunit ribosomal RNA
Source: RNAcentral
UACGUAGGGGGCAAGCGUUGUCCGGAAUCAUUGGGCGUAAAGCGCGCGUAGGCGGCUCGAUCAGUCUGCUGUGAAAGUCAAAGGCUCAACCUUUGAAUGCCGGUGGAUACUGUCGAGCUAGAGUCCGGAAGAGGCGAGUGGAAUUCCUGGUGUAGCGGUGGAAUGCGCAGAUAUCAGGAGGAACACCAACGGCGAAGGCAGCUCGCUGGGACGGUACUGACGCUAAGGCGCGAAAGCGUGGGGAGCGAACAGG